This is a non-coding RNA of Notechis scutatus (mainland tiger snake), 262 nucleotides long. The record is from RefSeq and is a predicted model, not a curated record. NCBI's taxonomy places the organism in Eukaryota, Metazoa, Chordata, Lepidosauria, Squamata, Elapidae.
UGGAACCUCAGGUCACAAACAUUUCUGACAAUGACCAAAUCGGGUGACAACCAAAAAUUUUAGAAAAAUUUUGCAUCUGGUCGCAAACACAUCCUCGGGUGGCGAUCAAACACAGCCAUGGUGAUUUCCCCUUCCGCGCCAUUUCUUUUGUCUGUGCAUGUGCAGUCAGUCUUGCUUCCAGUCACGACCAAAUUGGGUUGCAACCAAAGUCCUGGAAUGGAUUACGGUUGUGACCGGAGUUUCCACUAUAGUUUUUUUACUU